UACAGGGGGUGCAAACGUUGCUCGGAAUUAUUGGGCGUAAAGCGCGCGUAGGCGGCUACUUAAGUCGGAUGUGAAAGCCCUUGGCUCAACUGAGGAAGUGCACCCGAAACUGAGUGGCUAGAGUACGAAAGAGGGUCGCGGAAUUCCCGGUGUAGAGGUGAAAUUCGUAGAUAUCGGGAGGAACAUCGGUGGCGAAAAGCGACUUUCUGGUCCUUAACUGACGCUGAGGCGCGAAAGCAUGGGGAGCGAACGGG
RNAcentral lists this ribosomal RNA (254 nucleotides) under uncultured bacterium. RNAcentral's name for it is "partial 16S ribosomal RNA". It matches the Rfam family "Bacterial small subunit ribosomal RNA", at positions 524 to 776 of the family's 1533-position model. The record is from RNAcentral.